This 73-nucleotide transfer RNA is filed under the name Thermocrinis minervae. RNAcentral's name for it is "Aquificaceae bacterium CR11 tRNA". It matches the Rfam family "tRNA". Rfam says of the family: Transfer RNA (tRNA) molecules are approximately 80 nucleotides in length. Their secondary structure includes four short double-helical elements and three loops (D, anti-codon, and T loops). The record is from Rfam by way of RNAcentral. Lineage: Bacteria; Pseudomonadati; Aquificota; Aquificia; Aquificales; Aquificaceae.
AGGCGCGUAGCUCAGUUGGGAGAGCGCCGCCCUUACAAGGCGGAGGUCGGGGGUUCGAGUCCCCCCGUGCCUA